This 488-nucleotide ribosomal RNA is filed under the name uncultured bacterium. RNAcentral's name for it is "partial 16S ribosomal RNA". It matches the Rfam family "Bacterial small subunit ribosomal RNA", at positions 30 to 507 of the family's 1533-position model. The record is from RNAcentral.
AUUGAACGCUGGCGGCAGGCCUAACAUGCAAGUCGAACGGUAACAGGAAGCAGCUUGCUGCUUUGCUGACGAGUGGCGGACGGGUGAGUAAUGUCUGGGAAACUGCCUGAUGGAGGGGGAUAACUACUGGAAACGGUAGCUAAUACCGCAUAACGUCGCAAGACCAAAGAGGGGGACCUUAGGGCCUCUUGCCAUCGGAUGUGCCCAGAUGGGAUUAGCUAGUAGGUGGGGUAACGGCUCACCUAGGCGACGAUCCCUAGCUGGUCUGAGAGGAUGACCAGCCACACUGGAACUGAGACACGGUCCAGACUCCUACGGGAGGCAGCAGUGGGGAAUAUUGCACAAUGGGCGCAAGCCUGAUGCAGCCAUGCCGCGUGUAUGAAGAAGGCCUUCGGGUUGUAAAGUACUUUCAGCGGGGAGGAAGGGAGUAAAGUUAAUACCUUUGCUCAUUGACGUUACCCGCAGAAGAAGCACCGGCUAACUCCGUG